AACAAAGGUAAUAUAGUAAAAUGGAAAUAAAUAUUCAUUAUUGUUAAUUUAUUUAAGGGGUAGUUUUCUUUUACAUUGGAAACCCUAAAGUGCUUUGGCUGCCGUGCAAGAAAAGAAACUAGAGAAAGAAAACUAGAGAAAAGAAAAAAAGAGAGAGAGAAAACUAGGGUAGUGUGACUAAAUUGUAAGGAGAGAAAGAAAUAAAAGGGGUCACUUGUGUCAAGAAGGGGAAUUGAUGCUCAUGGUGUUGUGAUAGAGACUUAACUUUUUGUAUUGGAAUACGGCUUCACUCAAAGGGUGGUGAUUCAUUGGCAGGGAGAGUCUAAGGUAAGAAAAGUGGACAUCUGUGCACAGGGUGUAGAUUAUGCUUGUUUUUGUUGUUGUUUAAUUAUGUAUUUACUUUAUUUUACGACAUGAUUUGUUACGCUAGAUUGAUUAGUGUAAAGAUAGUGCUAGAUAUGUUAAUAGUAGACAUGCUUAGACAAUAGAGUGGGAGUGCUACUAGUUUAUACCUGCUUGUGUGAGGAUAUCACUUUCAGGAAUUAUCUUGGGUGUGUAUAACCCAUGAUAAUAGGAUGCCACCACGGAACUGCUGAGUGUGAGUACAGCGCAAGCAGGGUAACGAUAUCUCGUGGGAACGGUUGAGUGUGAGUAUAGCUCAGGCUAGACUAGAUGCCACCGUGGGAAUGUCGAGUGUGAGUAUAGCGCAGGCAGGGAAAAUUACAUUUCAUGUCCGAUCAACAUGACUUGUUAAUAUUAGUGUGUAUGUGUAUAACACGUAUUAUGUUGGUGUGAUACAUAUCUCACAAUGAUAGUUAUGUUAUAUAUUUAUUUAUGUAUAGUUGGUAAUUUCAUGAUUUUUUGGUAUAGGGGGUUAUGUCCUACAUAGCUCUUUUUACUGGGCGUUAGCUCAUGGGUACUCGGUGUGCAGGAAAAGGCAAAGCAAAACAGUGAGUGGUGCGGGCUCGAGGCGUGGACGAAACAUGUUAAACGCUGGGCACAGUUAUUUAUGUUUUAGAAAUAAAUGACAUUUUUGUUUUUGAA
Molecule: long non-coding RNA, 1044 nt
Organism: Cannabis sativa
Lineage: Eukaryota; Viridiplantae; Streptophyta; Magnoliopsida; Rosales; Cannabaceae
Exons: 2
Source: RefSeq, a predicted model, not a curated record